UACGUAGGGUGCAGGCGUUAAUCGGAAUUACUGGGCGUAAAGCGUGCGCAGGCGGUUUCUUAAGUCAGAUGUGAAAGCCCCGGGCUUAACCUGGGAACUGCGUUUGAAACUGGGAGACUUGAGUGUGGCAGAGGGGGGUGGAAUUCCACGUGUAGCAGUGAAAUGCGUAGAGAUGUGGAGGAACACCGAUGGCGAAGGCAGCCCCCUGGGUCAAGACUGACGCUCAUGCACGAAAGCGUGGGGAGCAAACAGG
Molecule: ribosomal RNA, 253 nt
Filed under: uncultured bacterium
Lineage: Bacteria
Description: partial 16S ribosomal RNA
Rfam family: Bacterial small subunit ribosomal RNA
Source: RNAcentral